UUGUAAACAAGGCUACCAUUGCACAGUUGAAAUAAUAUUCCUAUUUGCAGGCAGAGUUUUGAAGAUAAUGAGGGAAACUGGCCGUUUGUCAUUGGAUUAUCUUGUGCUGGACUAUUUGUUAUGAUUACGGCUGUAGUAAUUGUGAGACACCUGUUGAGAAAACAUAAAAUGAAGGAAGUUGACACUAAAGGUCUGGCUUCGGUUACACCCUCAAAUUGAAACCUCGUAAAUCGGAUCUUCUCACAGAACCAGCGAUGUUUAGACAAAGUGAAAGCGAAUUUGGGUACAACGAACAGUCUGAUGCACCAAAUGAGACACCAACAUACGGUAUUGUUGACAACGACGACAUCA
Molecule: long non-coding RNA, 351 nt
Organism: Ruditapes philippinarum (Manila clam)
Lineage: Eukaryota; Metazoa; Mollusca; Bivalvia; Venerida; Veneridae
Exons: 5
Source: RefSeq, a predicted model, not a curated record